Molecule: long non-coding RNA, 2223 nt
Organism: Suricata suricatta (meerkat)
Lineage: Eukaryota; Metazoa; Chordata; Mammalia; Carnivora; Herpestidae
Exons: 7
Source: RefSeq, a predicted model, not a curated record
AGCCCCCCUGAGACUGGUCAUGGCUCCUCAGAACAGCCAUGUCCUGCUAAUGAGGCUCGGCAGUCCACACUGAGCUGGAGCGAGGACCCGACCUGCCUGGUGCUGAAGAGCCUUUCCCUUCGCUCUGCAAGGAGCGAGGGCCCAGGCCAAACCAACCGUGGAUGAUUCCCCUCAAAUCCCACGCUCUCCCUCCAGCAAGAAGUGAUAUUGAUUCCGCAGACUCUGGGGAUGGCCUAGUUCACUGUCCCCACGGGACCUCAGGGGCCUUUGGCCUCUCCUCCUAGCCUUGGGGAGAUUAAUCACACAGAGAAGAGGUGAGAGCCUGGCUUCCAUUCCCUCUCUGCUGUCAUGGAAACCAGGGCACUAGCAACCUGGCAUGGAAACAAGAACAUGAUUUUCUUCUUUCACCAACCAGAGAAGAGGCUGUGACGACUUCAGGGCAGGAGGAGGAAGAGGCCUUACAGAUGAUUUGAUCUCAUUUUGUGAAGGAACAACGAUCCAGAAGAUGUCAACAGAAGGCGGGGAAAUGGGCUAGUCAAGGUAAAGUGCAUUUCUUCAAACAGCAAGAUGCAACCAGAAUCCAUGUGUCUCAAUUACCAAGAUUUCUCAGAACCACCCAGCACUGCUCUGGGCCCCACGUCAAAACCCUACCCUAAAUGCCCCUGAUGAUGGCCCUGAACCAUUGAUGAAUAGAUGGAAAUAGAACCUGAGAGCUGGAGGCUAUGACCGAUGCCGCAUUCCCUGGCCUGACCGGGGCCUUUUUUUCCUGGUUGAGGCAGCACUGCUGUGAACAGCAAGGACCAGCAGGAAUGCCUGCUCAGGGCUCAGAGAUCAGAACAGAGGCCUGUCCACUGACAAUUGUGUCAGUUGGGGCUUUCUAGACACAAGUCACAGUAGUUCUCUAAAUCUAACAUUAGGAAUAAAAGAGGACAUGUAAGGGUACAGAGUGUUUAAAAAAUCCCAGAGUAGGGACAUUCCAGGACACAGGAGGGACCUGAAUGAGCAGCAGAAGGCUCUCAGGAUGCCUGCUUCCUCUCCACGUCUGCCGCUCAGCCUGCUUCUCUCUCUGUAUGAGGGCUGUCCAGUUUAUGUGACAAACCAGAAGGUGGCUGCUCAAAAGUGUCCCUCUGACACAAAACCUUCUUAGUCCCAAUCUCAGAUUCCCAGGGAAGAGGUUCUGCUUGGCCCAUGUGGGGCUGGGAGCCCCCACCUUCACUGAACAAUCAUGGGGAACCUGCAUAUCAGAGGAGCGAUGGAGGAACUGUCUUCAGGAAUAAUGGAAUCAGUGUGCACUAAACUCAUAAAUCUCAUAAACUUGCCGUGACUGCGCUAUAUGCAUACUCCAAGAAUUGAGCAAUUUGACCAGGGAAGAACUUGGGGUCCAUCCUACACAGAAGCCAGUAAUGGGGAUGAGAGAGUUAAGUCAAACCCAUGAACUCUUGAAAAGCACCCAACUCCACUCGGUAGUCAUUGAAAUGGCCUCCAUAAAGCUCGAGGCAAAAUUAUAGAUCAUCAUUUUAAUUGAGUGCAAUUGGCUAUACAUUAAUAUUCAUGAUUAUUAGAGCAGCUAAUUUUCCUCUUUAUAGAAAGUGAGUGGGGGAUCGUUUCAGCUGCUACUUACUUUUCCUCCCUUAGGUUUCUGCGGGGGAGUGAAAGAAUAAAAGACACGGCACUUGAAAUCAGCCAUCAAUUCCUGAAUGUUGGAAAAAUAAAGAACCUUUCCACAAAAAUAUUAAGACGGAGGAAAAGAGUAACUUCAUGGCAAAGAAGCUUGGCCUUCGUCACAUGACCAGAGAGAACACACCAAUAUUGGGACACAUGGAAAUCACAUGCGACCCGGCAGGAUUCAAUGAGAAGGACACAACACUGCUCCUGAGCGAUUCCUACCAGAGACGCCCGAUCCAAAGCUAGACUUGGGGGAACAUCAGACAAACCCAAACUGAGGGACAUUCUACAGAAUGGUGGACCUGUCCCCUUCCAAAGAUUGGAGAAUGCUCCAGACUAAAGGAGAUUCAACAGACAGGACACGUACAGGCAAUGGGCAAUCCUGAACAGGGUCCUUCUGCUACCAAGAACAUUAUUGGGACAAACAGCAAUGGUGAAUGGGGUCUGAGGAUUAAAUGUUAGCAAAGCAUCAGGGUAAAUGUCCUGGUCCUAACAGUUUUAUUGUUAUUAUCUCAGAGCCUUCCUGUUUUAGGGAAAUAAAUUCUGCUAUAUUCAGGA